Molecule: non-coding RNA, 72 nt
Organism: Phrynosoma platyrhinos (Desert horned lizard)
Lineage: Eukaryota; Metazoa; Chordata; Lepidosauria; Squamata; Phrynosomatidae
Source: the annotation of a GenBank genome assembly
GCCAGAGUGGUACAGUGGUUUGAGCAUUGGGCUAUGACUCUGGAGGCCAGGGUUAGAAUCCCUACUUGGCCA